This 496-nucleotide ribosomal RNA is filed under the name uncultured bacterium. RNAcentral's name for it is "partial 16S ribosomal RNA". It matches the Rfam family "Bacterial small subunit ribosomal RNA", at positions 29 to 507 of the family's 1533-position model. The record is from RNAcentral.
AUGAACGCUGGCGGCGUGCCUAAUACAUGCAAGUCGAGCGAACAGAUAAGGAGCUUGCUCCUUUGACGUUAGCGGCGGACGGGUGAGUAACACGUGGGUAACCUACCUAUAAGACUGGGAUAACUUCGAGAAACCGGAGCUAAUACCGGAUAAUAUUUCGAACCGCAUGGUUCGAUAGUGAAAGAUGGUUUUGCUAUCACUUAUAGAUGGACCCGCGCCGUAUUAGCUAGUUGGUAAGGUAACGGCUUACCAAGGCGACGAUACGUAGCCGACCUGAGAGGGUGAUCGGCCACACUGGAACUGAGACACGGUCCAGACUCCUACGGGAGGCAGCAGUAGGGAAUCUUCCGCAAUGGGCGAAAGCCUGACGGAGCAACGCCGCGUGAGUGAUGAAGGUCUUCGGAUCGUAAAACUCUGUUAUUAGGGAAGAACAUACGUGUAAGUAACUGUGCACGUCUUGACGGUACCUAAUCAGAAAGCCACGGCUAACUACGUG